AGUGAUAUAACUCAACAGUAUAUAGAGUGUCACCUUGACGUGGUGGAAGUCAUUAGUUCAAGCCUAAUUAUCCCUA
RNAcentral lists this transfer RNA (76 nucleotides) under Macleaya cordata. It matches the Rfam family "tRNA". From Rfam's summary of the family: Transfer RNA (tRNA) molecules are approximately 80 nucleotides in length. Their secondary structure includes four short double-helical elements and three loops (D, anti-codon, and T loops). Lineage: Eukaryota; Viridiplantae; Streptophyta; Magnoliopsida; Ranunculales; Papaveraceae. The record is from Rfam by way of RNAcentral.